This 2901-nucleotide ribosomal RNA is filed under the name Klebsiella pneumoniae IS46. RNAcentral describes it as "LSU rRNA". It matches the Rfam family "Bacterial large subunit ribosomal RNA". Lineage: Bacteria; Pseudomonadati; Pseudomonadota; Gammaproteobacteria; Enterobacterales; Enterobacteriaceae. The record is from RNAcentral.
GGUUAAGCGACUAAGCGUACACGGUGGAUGCCCUGGCAGUCAGAGGCGAUGAAGGACGUGCUAAUCUGCGAAAAGCGUCGGUAAGGUGAUAUGAACCGUUAUAACCGGCGAUGUCCGAAUGGGGAAACCCAGUGCAAUUCGUUGCACUAUCGUUAACUGAAUACAUAGGUUAACGAGGCGAACCGGGGGAACUGAAACAUCUAAGUACCCCGAGGAAAAGAAAUCAACCGAGAUUCCCCCAGUAGCGGCGAGCGAACGGGGAGCAGCCCAGAGUCUGAAUCAGCUUGUGUGUUAGUGGAACGGUCUGGAAAGUCCGACGGUACAGGGUGAUAGUCCCGUACACCAAAAUGCACAGGUUGUGAACUCGAAGAGUAGGGCGGGACACGUGGUAUCCUGUCUGAAUAUGGGGGGACCAUCCUCCAAGGCUAAAUACUCCUGACUGACCGAUAGUGAACCAGUACCGUGAGGGAAAGGCGAAAAGAACCCCGGCGAGGGGAGUGAAAAAGAACCUGAAACCGUGUACGUACAAGCAGUGGGAGCACCUUCGGGUGUGACUGCGUACCUUUUGUAUAAUGGGUCAGCGACUUAUAUUCUGUAGCAAGGUUAACCGUAUAGGGGAGCCGCAGGGAAACCGAGUCUUAACUGGGCGUUAAGUUGCAGGGUAUAGACCCGAAACCCGGUGAUCUAGCCAUGGGCAGGUUGAAGGUUGGGUAACACUAACUGGAGGACCGAACCGACUAAUGUUGAAAAAUUAGCGGAUGACUUGUGGCUGGGGGUGAAAGGCCAAUCAAACCGGGAGAUAGCUGGUUCUCCCCGAAAGCUAUUUAGGUAGCGCCUCGUGAAUUCAUCUUCGGGGGUAGAGCACUGUUUCGGCUAGGGGGUCAUCCCGACUUACCAACCGAUGCAAACUACGAAUACCGAAGAAUGUUAUCACGGGAGACACACGGCGGGUGCUAACGUCCGUCGUGAAGAGGGAAACAACCCAGACCGCCAGCUAAGGUCCCAAAGUCAUGGUUAAGUGGGAAACGAUGUGGGAAGGCACAGACAGCCAGGAUGUUGGCUUAGAAGCAGCCAUCAUUUAAAGAAAGCGUAAUAGCUCACUGGUCGAGUCGGCCUGCGCGGAAGAUGUAACGGGGCUAAACCAUGCACCGAAGCUGCGGCAGCGACACUAUGUGUUGUUGGGUAGGGGAGCGUUCUGUAAGCCUGCGAAGGUGUGCUGUGAGGCAUGCUGGAGGUAUCAGAAGUGCGAAUGCUGACAUAAGUAACGAUAAAGCGGGUGAAAAGCCCGCUCGCCGGAAGACCAAGGGUUCCUGUCCAACGUUAAUCGGGGCAGGGUGAGUCGACCCCUAAGGCGAGGCCGAAAGGCGUAGUCGAUGGGAAACAGGUUAAUAUUCCUGUACUUGGUGUUACUGCGAAGGGGGGACGGAGAAGGCUAUGUUAGCCGGGCGACGGUUGUCCCGGUUUAAGCAUGUAGGCUGAUUAUCCAGGCAAAUCCGGAUAAUCAAGGCUGAGGUGUGAUGACGAGGCACUACGGUGCUGAAGUAACAAAUGCCCUGCUUCCAGGAAAAGCCUCUAAGCAUCAGGUAACAUCAAAUCGUACCCCAAACCGACACAGGUGGUCAGGUAGAGAAUACCAAGGCGCUUGAGAGAACUCGGGUGAAGGAACUAGGCAAAAUGGUGCCGUAACUUCGGGAGAAGGCACGCUGGUGUGUAGGUGAAGCCCCUGCGGGUGGAGCUGAGACCAGUCGAAGAUACCAGCUGGCUGCAACUGUUUAUUAAAAACACAGCACUGUGCAAACACGAAAGUGGACGUAUACGGUGUGACGCCUGCCCGGUGCCGGAAGGUUAAUUGAUGGGGUUAUCCGUAAGGAGAAGCUCUUGAUCGAAGCCCCGGUAAACGGCGGCCGUAACUAUAACGGUCCUAAGGUAGCGAAAUUCCUUGUCGGGUAAGUUCCGACCUGCACGAAUGGCGUAAUGAUGGCCAGGCUGUCUCCACCCGAGACUCAGUGAAAUUGAACUCGCUGUGAAGAUGCAGUGUACCCGCGGCAAGACGGAAAGACCCCGUGAACCUUUACUAUAGCUUGACACUGAACAUUGAGCCUUGAUGUGUAGGAUAGGUGGGAGGCUUUGAAGCGUGGACGCCAGUCUGCGUGGAGCCAACCUUGAAAUACCACCCUUUAAUGUUUGAUGUUCUAACGUUGGCCCCUUACCGGGGUUGCGGACAGUGUCUGGUGGGUAGUUUGACUGGGGCGGUCUCCUCCUAAAGCGUAACGGAGGAGCACGAAGGUUAGCUAAUCCUGGUCGGACAUCAGGAGGUUAGUGCAAUGGCAUAAGCUAGCUUGACUGCGAGCGUGACGGCGCGAGCAGGUGCGAAAGCAGGUCAUAGUGAUCCGGUGGUUCUGAAUGGAAGGGCCAUCGCUCAACGGAUAAAAGGUACUCCGGGGAUAACAGGCUGAUACCGCCCAAGAGUUCAUAUCGACGGCGGUGUUUGGCACCUCGAUGUCGGCUCAUCACAUCCUGGGGCUGAAGUAGGUCCCAAGGGUAUGGCUGUUCGCCAUUUAAAGUGGUACGCGAGCUGGGUUUAGAACGUCGUGAGACAGUUCGGUCCCUAUCUGCCGUGGGCGCUGGAGAAUUGAGGGGGGCUGCUCCUAGUACGAGAGGACCGGAGUGGACGCAUCACUGGUGUUCGGGUUGUCAUGCCAAUGGCACUGCCCGGUAGCUAAAUGCGGAAGAGAUAAGUGCUGAAAGCAUCUAAGCACGAAACUUGCCCCGAGAUGAGUUCUCCCUGAGACUUUAAGUCUCCUGAAGGAACGUUGAAGACGACGACGUUGAUAGGCCGGGUGUGUAAGCGCAGCGAUGCGUUGAGCUAACCGGUACUAAUGAACCGUGAGGCUUAACCUU